This 191-nucleotide ribosomal RNA is filed under the name uncultured bacterium. RNAcentral describes it as "partial 16S ribosomal RNA". It matches the Rfam family "Bacterial small subunit ribosomal RNA", at positions 1302 to 1500 of the family's 1533-position model. The record is from RNAcentral.
AGUCUGCAACCCGACUCCACGAAGUUGGAUUCGCUAGUAAUCGCGCAUCAGCCAUGGCGCGGUGAAUACGUUCCCGGGCCUUGUACACACCGCCCGUCAAGCCAUGGGAGCCGGGGGCGCCUGAAGUCCGGGACCGCGAGGACCGGCCUAAGGCGAAACUGGUGACUGGGGCUAAGUCGUAACAAGGUAAC